Molecule: RNA transcript, 5111 nt
Organism: Pan troglodytes (chimpanzee)
Lineage: Eukaryota; Metazoa; Chordata; Mammalia; Primates; Hominidae
Gene: LMNB1
Gene name: lamin B1
Exons: 10
Source: RefSeq, marked provisional
GCGCUGCCUGCUCCCCAUUGGCCCAUGGCGGUCACAUGGAGGCGCCGGGGCGCGCCGGCCAUGUUGGGGAGUGCGGCGCCGCGGCCCGCGCCACCUCCGCCCCCCGCGGCUUGCCUCCAGCCCGCCCCUCCCGGCCCUCCUCCCCCCGCCCGCCGCUCCGUGCAGCCUGAGAGGAAACAAAGUGCUGCGAGCAGGAGACGGCGGCGGCGCGAACCCUGCUGGGCCUCCAGUCACCCUCGUCUUGCAUUUUCCCGCGUGCGUGUGUGAGUGGGUGUGUGUUUUCUUACAAAGGGCAUUUCGCGAUCGAUCGAUUGAUUCGUAGUUCCCCCCCCGCGCGCCUUUGCCCUUUGUGCUGUAAUCGAGCUCCCGCCAUCCCAGGUGCUUCUCCUUUCCUCUAAACGCCAGCGUCUGGACGUGAGCGCAGGUCGCCGGUUUGUGCCUUCGGUCCCCGCUUCGCCCCCUGCCGUCCCCUCCUUGUCACGGUCCCGCUCGCGGCCUCGCCGCCCCGCUGUCUCCGCCGCCCGCCAUGGCGACUGCGACCCCCGUGCCGCCGCGGAUGGGCAGCCGCGCUGGCGGCCCCACCACGCCGCUGAGCCCCACGCGGCUGUCGCGGCUCCAGGAGAAGGAGGAGCUGCGCGAGCUCAAUGACCGGCUGGCGGUGUACAUCGACAAGGUGCGCAGCCUGGAGACGGAGAACAGCGCGCUGCAGCUGCAGGUGACGGAGCGCGAGGAGGUGCGCGGCCGCGAGCUCACCGGCCUCAAGGCGCUCUACGAGACCGAGCUGGCCGACGCGCGACGCGCGCUCGACGACACGGCCCGCGAGCGCGCCAAGCUGCAGAUCGAGCUGGGCAAGUGCAAGGCGGAACACGACCAGCUGCUCCUCAACUAUGCUAAGAAGGAAUCUGAUCUUAAUGGCGCCCAGAUCAAGCUUCGAGAAUAUGAAGCAGCACUGAAUUCGAAAGAUGCAGCUCUUGCUACUGCACUUGGUGACAAAAAAAGUUUAGAGGGAGAUUUGGAGGAUCUGAGGGAUCAGAUUGCCCAGUUGGAAGCCUCCUUAGCUGCAGCCAAAAAACAGUUAGCAGAUGAAACUUUACUUAAAGUAGAUUUGGAGAAUCGUUGUCAGAGCCUUACUGAGGACUUGGAGUUUCGCAAAAACAUGUAUGAAGAGGAGAUUAACGAGACCAGAAGGAAGCAUGAAACGCGCUUGGUAGAGGUGGAUUCUGGGCGUCAAAUUGAGUAUGAGUACAAGCUGGCACAAGCCCUUCAUGAGAUGAGAGAGCAACAUGAUGCCCAAGUGAGGCUGUAUAAGGAGGAGCUGGAGCAGACUUACCAUGCCAAACUUGAGAAUGCCAGACUGUCAUCAGAGAUGAAUACUUCUACUGUCAACAGUGCCAGGGAAGAACUGAUGGAAAGCCGCAUGAGAAUUGAGAGCCUUUCAUCCCAGCUUUCUAAUCUACAGAAAGAGUCUAGAGCAUGUUUGGAAAGGAUUCAAGAAUUAGAGGACUUGCUUGCUAAAGAAAAAGACAACUCUCGUCGCAUGCUGACAGACAAAGAGAGAGAGAUGGCGGAAAUAAGGGAUCAAAUGCAGCAACAGCUGAAUGACUAUGAACAGCUUCUUGAUGUAAAGUUAGCCCUGGACAUGGAAAUCAGUGCUUACAGGAAACUCUUAGAAGGCGAAGAAGAGAGGUUGAAGCUGUCUCCAAGCCCUUCUUCCCGUGUGACAGUAUCCCGAGCAUCCUCAAGUCGUAGUGUACGUACAACUAGAGGAAAGCGGAAGAGGGUUGAUGUGGAAGAAUCAGAGGCGAGUAGUAGUGUUAGCAUCUCUCAUUCCGCCUCAGCCACUGGAAAUGUUUGCAUCGAAGAAAUUGAUGUUGAUGGGAAAUUUAUCCGCUUGAAGAACACUUCUGAACAGGAUCAACCAAUGGGAGGCUGGGAGAUGAUCAGAAAAAUUGGAGACACAUCAGUCAGUUAUAAAUAUACCUCAAGAUAUGUGCUGAAGGCAGGCCAGACUGUUACAGUAAGUGAAUCUAGUCAUCAUUUAAUUUAACUUCAUUGUGUUAACUAACAAAGUAACUCAAAAAGUUUUUUGGCUAAAAGAGAAGCAUUUUAGAAAUGGCCGUUAAAGUACUUUUUAUAUUAUUAGGGCAUUACAAGUGCUAUAAAAGAUUUUUAAAAUUCUGUCUUAUUGAGAGUAGUGAAGAAUGGACCUUUGAAUUAUUUUUAUCUUGUCUAUUCCAGUAGAUAUAAAAGCUAUCUCUAGACUGAUACUUAUAGCCCAGUGUCAUUCAGGAGACACUGCUUGGCAUAAAGAACUGUUAAGAAUUUAGCAUUAACAUAUGCCUAAAACAGCAAUCUCUAGCCUUGGGUGAGCUUCAGAAUCAUUUGGGUAGUAUUUUGGUGUUCAGGCCCUACUUCACCCUUUGCUAUCUUUGGGGUUGGGGUAGGAGCCUAGGUUUUGAAUAAAAGUCCUUAGAUUAUAGGCACCCUUGUAAAUUUUCACUAAUUGGCAUUCUGUGUCUUGAUUUCUAAAUGGCUCUCUAUUGGUAUGUUCUGAAAUACUACAUCUUUAAUAGUUACUGAAAUAUUAUUAGCUUACUUUUUAGAGAAGUAUGUUUCAUUGAGUAAUCAAAGAUUCUUUUGCUUUUACUUAGUAGGUAGAUUUAGCUAACAAUAAAAUAUGUUAACUUUGAUACAGAUUUCAAAGAAGUCACUCUUUUCAUCCUAAAAGAAUGUAGAGGUGACUGUCUCUUUCCUUUUAUAUAUUCUUUAAAAAAUAUUAAACGCAUGUUUUAAAUGUGUUUAUAAUUUUAUGUUGAUACAAACCUUACUGUUGAAGAUCAAAGGCUCAGACUUCUCUUUAAAAAGGUGUAUUCAGAGAGCAUGAUGCCACUUUGUGAAAAUAUCAAAUGCUAAUUUGGUAAUAAUGGGUAAAAAUGGGAUCAACUAUCCUAACUACAAUAUCCUUUCUUCUCAUUAGUAAUUACUAUAGUGAGAAAAAAUUGCUCACUAUAGCAAUUGCUAUUAUAUGUCUUAUGGAAGCUGUAUAAUGUGGUAAAAAGAAUCUGACAUUUUAGUUCAGAGGAUUCAGAAUUGAGUGUGCUCUCUAUCUCAGAAGUAAUAUGGAAGCCUUAUGCCAAUCAUGUGCUUUUUCUACUGGGUAUACUACCUCAGGGACUAAAUACAUGGAUUCUAGAGAUCUAGUGGAGAACUCAAUUAUCAUAUAAAAUAAUGUGAUACUUUUUUCCCUUCAGUAACUGGCAUUAAAUGUGAUAAGCAGCUAUUUGGAACAUGGUAGUAAUAAGUGAUCUUUCUGUAAAAUUGCAGAGGCAAAAGCAAAGAUCAGUUUAAAACUCUAGAAUAGAAAUAUGAGAACCACAUGUGUAAUUUUAAAUUUUCUUAUAGCCGCAUUAAAGUAAAAAAGAAAGACAUGAAUUUUAGAACUAUAUUUUAUGAAACCCAAUAUAUCCAAAAUAUUGCUUUAACAUGUAAUCAGUCUAAAAAGUCAGAUAUUUUUACAUUCUUUUUUUUUAUGUUUAGCUAAGUCUUCAAAAUCUAGUGUGUAUUUUACCCUUACAGCACAUUCAUUUCAGACUAGCCAUAUUUUAAGUGCUAACAAGCCACAUUUUGCUGCGGUAUUGAAUGACAUGGCUAUAGGACAUAUUAGUUUUAGGUUAAGUUAGCCAGCAAGUAUACUGACAUUUUAUGAUGAUGAUUACUAACAUAAACCAACUAUGUGAUUACAUAUAGGCUAGUGAGAAAUAUUGCUUACAAUUAGGAAAACACUAACGUUCCACAUAGUCUGAAUGUUGGACCAGAUUCAGUUCUUUUUUUCAGUUUAAUCCCAGUUAAUAUCUUGUGCCCCUUUCCAUUUGUAAUGCUGAUGAAAGAUCUGGAUGCUUCAGGGGAACAUCUCAAAAGUAAGGGCUCUCUCCUAAUCAGUAAUUCAUAGAUUUUUUUUUUCCUGUUUCCACCCCACCCCCCACCCUUUCUUUUUUUUGAUAGAGACAGGAUUUCACCAUGUUGCCCAGGCUGGUUUUAAACUCCUUAGCUCAAGUGAUCUGCCUGCCUUGGCCUCCCAAAGUGCUGGGAUUACAGGUGUGAGCCACUGCGCCUGGCAAGAAAUUCUGUCUCUUAAGCAAAGAAAAGGUCCCUCUCCCCCGCAUUUGGUGAUUUUAAGUGUGUUUUUUAACUUAAACUACUAUUGUUUUUAGGAGGUUGCUCAAAGAAGUACAGUCUUUAAAACAACCAUACCUGAAGAAGAGGAGGAGGAGGAAGAAGCAGCUGGAGUGGUUGUUGAGGAAGAACUUUUCCACCAGCAGGGAACCCCAAGAGCAUCCAAUAGAAGCUGUGCAAUUAUGUAAAAUUUUCAACUGUCUUCCUCAAAAUAAAGAAGUAUGGUAAUCCUUACCUGUAUACAGUGCAGAGCCUUCUCAGAAGCACAGAAUAUUUUUAUAUUUCCUUUAUGUGAAUUUUUAAGCUGCAAAUCUGAUGGCCUUAAUUUCCUUUUUGACACUGAAAGUUUUAUAAAAGAAAUCAUGUCCAUACACUUUGUUGCAAGAUGUGAAUUAUUGACACUGAACUUAAUAACUGUGUACUGUUCGGAAGGGGUUCCUCAAAUUUUUUGACUUUUUUUGUAUGUGUGUUUUUUCUUUUUUUUUAAGUUCUUAUGAGGAGGGGAGGGUAAAUAAACCACUGUGCGUCUUGGUGUAAUUUGAAGAUUGCCCCAUCUAGACUAGCAAUCUCUUCAUUAUUCUCUGCUAUAUAUAAAACGGUGCUGUGAGGGAGGGGAAAAGCAUUUUUCAAUAUAUUGAACUUUUGUACUGAAUUUUUUUGUAAUAAGCAAUCAAGGUUAUAAUUUUUUUUUAAAUAGAAAUUUUGUAAGAAGGCAAUAUUAACCUAAUCACCAUGUAAGCACUCUGGAUGAUGGAUUCCACAAAACUUGGUUUUAUGGUUACUUCUUCUCUUAGAUUCUUAAUUCAUGAGGGGGGUGGGGGAGGGGAGUGGGGGAGGGAAGGGUUUCUCCAUUAAAAUGCAUUCGUUGUGUUUUUUAAGAUAGUGUAACUUGCUUAAAUUUCUUAUGUGACAUUAACAAAUAAAAAAAGCUCUUUUAA